UACGUAGGGGGCAAGCGUUGUCCGGAAUUAUUGGGCGUAAAGAGCUCGUAGGCGGUUUGUCACGUCGGAUGUGAAAGCCCGGGGCUUAACCCCGGGUCUGCAUUCGAUACGGGCAGACUAGAGUGUGGUAGGGGAGAUCGGAAUUCCUGGUGUAGCGGUGAAAUGCGCAGAUAUCAGGAGGAACACCGAUGGCGAAGGCAGGUCUCUGGGCAUUAACUGACGCUGAGGAGCGAAAGCAUGGGGAGCGAACAGG
This 253-nucleotide ribosomal RNA is filed under the name uncultured bacterium. RNAcentral describes it as "partial 16S ribosomal RNA". It matches the Rfam family "Bacterial small subunit ribosomal RNA", at positions 524 to 776 of the family's 1533-position model. The record is from RNAcentral.